GAUGAACGCUGGCGGCGUGCCUAAUACAUGCAAGUCGAGCGAACAGACGAGGAGCUUGCUCCUCUGACGUUAGCGGCGGACGGGUGAGUAACACGUGGAUAACCUACCUAUAAGACUGGGAUAAGUCGGGAAGCGGGAGCUAAUACCGGGGAAUAUAUUGAAGCGCAUGGGUCAAUAGGGAAAGACGGGGUAGCUGAUACGCAUACGUGGAUCCGCGCCGCAUUAGCUAGUUGGGAAGUUAACGGCUUAGACAGGCGACGAUGCGUAGCCGACCGGAGAGGUUGAUCGCCCACACGGGAACUGAGCCACGUUCCAGCCUCCUACGGGAGGCGGCAGUAGCGAAUCGUCCGCAUUGGGAGAAAUCCUGAAGGAGCACCGCCGCGUGAGUGAGGAAGGGCUUCGGAUCGUAAAGCUCUGUUAUUAGGGAAGACCAAAUGUGUAAGUGACUAUGUACGUCUUGACGUUACCUAAUCAGAAAGCCCCGGCUAACUCCGU
This 495-nucleotide ribosomal RNA is filed under the name uncultured bacterium. Its description in RNAcentral is "partial 16S ribosomal RNA". It matches the Rfam family "Bacterial small subunit ribosomal RNA", at positions 28 to 506 of the family's 1533-position model. The record is from RNAcentral.